GGCCGAGUGGCGGAAUGGCAGACGCAGGGGACUUAAAAUCCCUUGAGGGGUUACCCUCGUGCGGGUUCGAGUCCCGCCUCGGCCACCA
RNAcentral lists this transfer RNA (88 nucleotides) under Planctomycetota bacterium. Its description in RNAcentral is "Planctomycetes bacterium (activated sludge metagenome) tRNA-Leu". It matches the Rfam family "tRNA". From Rfam's summary of the family: Transfer RNA (tRNA) molecules are approximately 80 nucleotides in length. Their secondary structure includes four short double-helical elements and three loops (D, anti-codon, and T loops). Lineage: Bacteria; Pseudomonadati; Planctomycetota. The record is from RNAcentral.